UAGGGAAUCUUCCACAAUGGACGAAAGUCUGAUGGAGCAACGCCGCGUGAGUGAUGAAGGGUUUCGGCUCGUAAAACUCUGUUGUUGGAGAAGAACGGGUGUCAGAGUAACUGUUGACAUCGUGACGGUAUCCAACCAGAAAGCCACGGCUAACUACGUGCCAGCAGCCGCGGUAAUACGUAGGUGGCAAGCGUUGUCCGGAUUUAUUGGGCGUAAAGCGAGCGCAGGCGGUUUUUUAGGUCUGAUGUGAAAGCCUUCGGCUUAACCGGAGAAGUGCAUCGGAAACCGGGAGACUUGAGUGCAGAAGAGGACAGUGGAACUCCAUGUGUAGCGGUGAAAUGCGUAGAUAUAUGGAAGAACACCAGUGGCGAAGGCGGCUGUCUGGUCUGCAACUGACGCUGAGGCUCGAAAGCAUGGGUAGCGAACAGGAUUAGAUACCCUGGUAGUCCAUGCCGUAAACGAUGAGUGCUAAGUGUUGGAGGGUUUCCGCCCUUGCAGUGCUGCAGCUAACGCAUUAAGCACU
RNAcentral lists this ribosomal RNA (523 nucleotides) under uncultured bacterium. RNAcentral's name for it is "partial 16S ribosomal RNA". It matches the Rfam family "Bacterial small subunit ribosomal RNA", at positions 355 to 868 of the family's 1533-position model. The record is from RNAcentral.